GUCGAGAUGUUGCUUCAGGCAAUAUAGGAAGCUCUAGAAAAGGAGUUCAUUGGUGUUACUAGUAAGACUUCAGGCUUGUACGGUGAAUAUGUGGACAGUGUGGUUUGUUGCUGGUAAGAUCUUGAAUACUUUAGUGCCAACAAGUUAGUAGAGAGUGCAAGUUGUGGUCAGUUGUGCCACAUCUCAGGGUUGUUAGUUUUGGAAGAGUCCAGAUCAACAUAAUAUUUUGAUGGAGAAUGAUUUAUGACGUGGGACAAUUUCUGGGUCAGCAAGAUAGUGGUUUGUGGCUGGUUGGAAAAUCAAUAGUUAAAUACCGGCAAGUUGUGAUCAGGAACACUCAGGGUUGUUAGUUUUGGAAGAGUCCAGAUCAACAUAAUAUUUUGAUGGAGAACGAUUUAUGAUGUGGGACAAUUUCUGGGUCGGCAAGUUAGUGGUUUGUGGCUGGUUGGAAAAUCAAUAGUUAAAUACCAGCAAGUUGUGAUCAGGAGCACUCAGGGUUGUUAGUUAGAUCAACAUUAUAUUUUGAUGGAGAACGAUUUAUGAUGUGGGACAAUUUCUGGGUCAGCAAUUUAGUGGUUUGUGGCUGGUUGGAAAAUCAAUAGUUAAAUACCAGCAAGUUGUGAUCAGGAGCACUCAGGGUUGUUAGUUUUGAGAGAGUCCAGACGUGAUAUUUUGAUGAAGGAUGGUUUGUGAUGUGGCCGAAUUCAUAGCAAGUUCAUGUUUUGUAGCUGGUAAGAACUUCACUACUUUAAUGCCAACAAGUUAGUAGAGAGUGCAAAUUGUGGUCAAAAGUGCCAGCCUUAAUACUUUGCUGGAGAACAAACAGUUUGUGAUGUGGACGAAUUCAUAGCAAGUUUGUGGUUUGUAGAUGGUGAGAACUUGAAUACUUUAAUGCCAGGAAAUUAGUAGAGAGUUGGGAAGGAGUUAGUCCCUCAUAUAUCAACAAGAAGGGUGUGAGAGGAGCUUGUCAAGGGAUUAGAGGAUGGAGUUGGUCUCUGAAAUAUGAACAGGAAGGGUGUGUAGACUGAGUUUGUUAAGGGAAGAGGAGGAGUCAUUUAUAACCAGGAAGAGAGAGUGUGUGUGUGUGUGUGUGUGUGUGUGAGGUGUUGGUUUGGCCAUUCGUUCACACAGACAAAACAUUUAUAUUUUCCUAUGUCUGCUAUUGUUAGUCGUCAGGGUCUUUGUUAUUGCUCACGUUACAUGUUAUAUACUGGUUCAGGGACGAGGCUGGGACACAACACGGGCUGCAGGGCGUCAGGCAUUCUAGCGUUUACGAAAAGACGCCAAGAAGUUUAAAGGUCAUAAAAUACUUCACCCCAAAUUUUGUUACUGUGGUGGUAUUUGGUGGUUUGGUACAUGGUUUGGAAGCUUACUAACCAAACUGUGUAACUGGACCCUUCACAACAACCAUGAUCACCACUGACCCACAAAACAUCUGCACUAUUAUUUUUGUGUUGGUUGGUCACUUGCUGCUGACCCCAACAUGUAUUUUCUGUGUCAAGGCUUUCACACAGAGUCUUAAAUGUCAUACAAGUUCCUCAUUAGACUCUCCGUUUAGUGUGUUUGUUUUUAAGGCUUUCCCCAUUAUGCACCCUCAAGCUGACUCCACCCUAGGCACAGUUGUUGCUCCUGUGCGCCCCAACCUGUUGUAGCCUCAGCCAAGUCACUUUUUUUACGGCGACGAGCGACAGGCUCAUUGCGUGUUUCCUUGUUGCUCGCUGCCUCGGAAUGUUGACACUUGUAUACUACUAAGGCCCUUGUACCUGCCGUGUGUGUGUUAGUGUGUGUGAAUGUGCAAUGUAUAUGUGUGUGUGUGUGUGUUAGCCAGAUAAGUUUAGAGUUUUUUAUUAUUCUUGUAUACUACUCAUGUUUAUACACACUAAACAUACUAUUUAUAAGCAUUACCUGUUUUCGUUUUGUGUAGUAGAGAUAGUAACGCCAAUAAUAGUAUACGGUUUGUUGAGGGAAGUGCAGCCGUAUGGGGGGAGAAAGAUAAAGAGAGAGAGAGAGAGAGAGAGGCUUAACAUAAGUAACAAAGAAAUUAUAUAUUACGGAGAGUUAAAAGUUCGCUGUAUUGAGAUGUGUGCAUGUGUGUGUAUGUGUGUGUGUGUGUGUUUUAACUAUAGAGGAAAGGAAGAUAUGUAAAUGAAAAUAUGGGAAGAGAUGGAGGAGAUGAGGAGGAAGAGGAGGAGAUGAAGAAAAAUGUGUGUGUGUGUGUGUGUGUGUGUGUGUGAGAGAGAGAGAGAAUGGACAACCUCUGCAGCAUUUUUCUACCUGUCGAAAUGUAUUGAUCAAAGUAUAUAGUAACUGUGAAUGAGGUGCGUCAGCCAUGGCCUCCCCACUCGCAUGUAUAAAGCUUACGAAACAACAGAACACAAGCAUAAUUCACCCCAUCAGUCACACACCCUGUACACACACACACACACACACGACGUUACGCUAAUAGUUAUUUAAUAUUUCGAGUACACGGGCGGCAGUGAUGUUGUUGUGUGUUUCUUGCGACGUCAUCACACAUGCGUUACGUUUCCCCAAAUUCGCCGUGUCCUGCCGUAUAUUUUAUGAUGAUGUUGAUGAGGUUAGUUAGCAACGAGGAUAUUAUUACUAGUGUUUACGGUUGAUGCUGGUGGUGUUGAUGAUCCUCGACGUUGUUGAUGUUACAAGAGAGAAUCGGAGCGACGACGAAAAGGGUGUUAGAUAUUAUUAUUAUUAUCAUUAUUAUCAUUAUUAUUAUUACUACCAUUUUAACUAUUCUUCUGAGUGUGCAUUAAUAGUUUUACAUUCAUUAUUAUUAUUAUUAUUAUUGCUAUUACUAGUGUGUAUUCAUCGUAUAACAUUCAUCACAUUUUCUAAUUGUAUUAUGUCUGAUGUCAUUUUUAUUAUUAUUAUUAUUACAUGUGUUUUUAUUGAUAUUUUAGCGCUGUACAAUAUUUAUUAGGUUCGUAUUUGCUCAAACUAGUUGGGUCGUAAACAAAAAUAUUAACUCGUUCACUCCACAUUGUCUUUCAUUUUGUGUUUUGUGUUGGCCGAAGUGUAUUUUUUUUCUCUCAUGCAGCUUUCUCUCUCUCUCCUCUCUCUCCUCUCUCUCUCAGUAUUAUCGUCAUCACAAGCAGCUCUCUUUUCAUCACACACAUCAACUUUUCUUUAGUACACCAUUCAUUUAUAAACAUUUUCUUUUUAUUUCCGCGACUAAUUAUUUGUUUUGCUCAGUGGACUGCGUGUGUUCGUCUUAUCCGUUGUAUAUUAUUUUUCUUCUGCGUCGUGCAUUGCGUUGGUCGGCCGGUCCGCUGAUAUGGAGGGUAGUCUGGAGGCAUUAUUUCUUGUUGUUUUGGAGGAGGGAAGGAAGGAAGGAAGGGAGUUGGUGAAGGAGAGUAGGGAGGGGGAAAAGGAUGGAGAGGGAGAGAAAGAAUGAAAAAAGGGGAGAGUCAGGGAUAGUAGGAAAGGAGAGAGGAAAGUAGGGAAGGAAGGGAGGAAAGAGCAAAGAAAAAGGAAGGUAGGAAGAGUGAGGAAAUAAUGAGUAAGGGAAAGUAGGAAGGAAAUGAAGGCAGGAAGGAAGGAAGAAAGAAAGGAAAUGGUUAGGAAAGAAGAAGUUAUGAUGAGUAAGAAGGAAGACAGGCAGGCAGGAAGGACUUUUAGAAGAAUCAAUGGAGAAGGGCGAGUGGCAAGUGAUGUGUUGCUAUCAGGGAAACAGAAAAAUGAGCUUGUUGUCAAUAGGAAG
Long non-coding RNA from Eriocheir sinensis (Chinese mitten crab), 3715 nucleotides. RefSeq lists it as uncharacterized. Lineage: Eukaryota; Metazoa; Arthropoda; Malacostraca; Decapoda; Varunidae. The transcript has 2 exons. The record is from RefSeq and is a predicted model, not a curated record.